RNAcentral lists this transfer RNA (72 nucleotides) under Fukomys damarensis (Damara mole-rat). It matches the Rfam family "tRNA". From Rfam's summary of the family: Transfer RNA (tRNA) molecules are approximately 80 nucleotides in length. Their secondary structure includes four short double-helical elements and three loops (D, anti-codon, and T loops). Further hydrogen bonds mediate the characteristic L-shaped molecular structure. tRNAs have two regions of fundamental functional importance: the anti-codon, which is responsible for specific mRNA codon recognition, and the 3' end, to which the tRNAs corresponding amino acid is attached (by aminoacyl-tRNA synthetases). tRNAs cope with the degeneracy of the genetic code in two manners: having more than one tRNA (with a specific anti-codon) for a particular amino acid; and 'wobble' base-pairing, i.e. permitting non-standard base-pairing at the 3rd anti-codon position. Lineage: Eukaryota; Metazoa; Chordata; Mammalia; Rodentia; Bathyergidae. The record is from Rfam by way of RNAcentral.
AGGGGUGCAGCUCAGUGGUAGAGCACCUGCUUAGUAUACUGGAGGCUCUGGGUUUGAUUCCCAGCAUCACAA